This 3849-nucleotide unclassified non-coding RNA is filed under the name Diabrotica virgifera virgifera (western corn rootworm). RNAcentral describes it as "protein disulfide-isomerase A6 homolog". Lineage: Eukaryota; Metazoa; Arthropoda; Insecta; Coleoptera; Chrysomelidae. The record is from RNAcentral.
GGUUAACCGGAGAAUAUGGUAAAAAUUAAUAAAAUACGAAUCUUUGGUAGGUGGAAAUUGAAUGUGGAAUCUGGAUGGUGCAUAAAAAAGACUGCUGAAAAUUUUCUACUCCAAGAACUGAAUAUAUUUGAAUGUAAAAUUGCUGUGUUAAAAAUGAUACAAAUACUUUUUUUAGGUCUUUUUUUCCAAUCAUCUCUAGCUCUCUACCCUAGUAGUGGAAGUGUAGUUGAAUUAACACCAAGCAAUUUUGACAAAUUGGUGAUCAAAGGAGAUGAAGUGUGGGUUGUUGAAUUUUUUGCUCCUUGGUGUGGCCAUUGUAAGAAUUUAGUACCAGAAUAUACCAAAGCAGCCAAUGCAUUAAAAGGUAUUGUGAAAGUUGGAGCCGUAGAUGUAGACCAGCACAAAGAAAUCGGAGGUCAGUAUGGAAUUAGAGGAUUUCCUACUAUAAAAAUUUUUGGGGCAGAUAAACGUAAACCUGAAGAUUUUAAUGGUGGUAGAACUGCCAAAGAUAUCGUUGAAGGUGCUCUCAAGGCAGCUAAAGCAAAAGCUAAAGCAAAUCUUGGUUUAGGAGGUGGAUCACAGUCUGAUGAUUCUGAUAAUAGCCACGUAGUAGAACUGACUGAUAGCAAUUUUGAAAAGCUAGUACUGAAAUCUGAUGAUAUGUGGCUAGUAGAAUUCUUUGCUCCGUGGUGUGGGCACUGUAAAAACCUCGCACCUCAUUGGGCUAAAGCUGCAGCUGAACUUAAAGGCAAGGUAAAACUUGGAGCAUUGGAUGCAACUGUUCAUCAAGCAAGAGCAUCACUAUAUGGAGUACAAGGAUAUCCAACAAUCAAAUUCUUUGGCCCAGAUGCAAAAGAUUCUCCUACAGAUUAUGAUGGCGGUCGUACAUCAAGUGACAUUGUUACCUGGGCUUUAGAUAAGUUAGAAGAGAACAUUCCAGCACCAGAAGUAACUCAAAUUUUAGAUGACAAGUCAUUUAAGAAAUUGUGUGAAGACAAACCUCUGUGUGUAGUAGCCGUUCUUCCUCACAUUUUAGAUUGUCAGUCUGAAUGUAGAAAUAAUUAUAUUAAGAUGCUUGCUGGUAUUGGAGAAACAUUCAAAAAGAAGAUGUGGGGAUGGGUCUGGUCUGAAGCAGGUACUCAACUUGAUUUAGAAAAUUCCCUUGAUAUUGGUGGAUUUGGAUAUCCAGCUAUGGCUGUCAUUAACUCAAAGAAAAUGAAAUAUUCUAUUCUCCGUGGAUCAUUUUCCAAGGAUGGUAUUUAUGAAUUUUUAAGGAACAAACACCACUAACACCAGAUAUUUUAAAUGUAGGAACAGGAGAAACUGCUGGAACUUAACACAAAGGGGUUUGACUAGUGAAGAUUUGGAUAAACAAAAGGAAUUACUUUGGGCUAUAGCUACAUGCAGGUUUAUUUCCUUGUGGCUUCCUAUGUAUAUUCUUAUGAACUUAUACACUUUGAUAUGUUUUUAGUCUCAUGAAGAUUUUAUAAUUUAUUAUUUUAUUUAUAUUGUUAUAUUUAUGAUGAAUAAACAUUAUUAUUAUUACGGUAAUUUCCGUAAUAAAAUUUAAAUAAAUUAACUGUAAUCAAUAAACCGUUUUUAAUGUUAAUAAAUUAUCAAUAAUGAUUCCCAAAUAUUUUAUUUGUUUGACAACUUCUAUGGGUUGAUUGUUGAAUCAUGGACCUUGAACGAAGAUAUGUGCCAAAAAUUGGAAGCAUUUGAGAUGUGGCUAUAUCAGAGAAUUCUUAAAAGCCCAUGGACUGAUCGGGCCACAAAUGAGGAGGUCCUUAGAAAAAUGGGUAAGAACCGGGAGGUACUAACCACCAUGAAUCCAGAUAUGCCCUCAUACAAGCUAUUCUGCAAGGAAAAAUAUUUGGAAAGCGAGGUAUAAGAAGAAGAACAACCUGGUUAAAGAACCUCAGAACUCUAGCGUUAACUGUUGCUCGUUAGUACUGCUCUGAAUCAUUUUCAAUACAAAUAUUUGAUCUAUGGUGGAUCUGCCCUUUUUGAAUCCUCCCUGGUAUUCACCAACCUGCUCAUUUAAGUGCCUUUCCAAUCUGCUUCUUAUGACUCUGGCGAGUACCUUAUAUGUUACGUCUAACAUGAAAUUCAUACUGGGAUUGCAGUACGGUUAAGAAAGGAAUGCAAUUCAACACAACAUCUGUGUAGUUUUUCGGCGUUGCUGCAGAUAAAGUGAAGAUUAUCAUGAUGAUCGCCAACAUUCGUUAUGGAUAGGCACAGCAGGAAGAAGAAUAUUGUGAGAUUAAUAUUGAUCAUAUUAAUAUUUUGUAUUAAUAAUCAAUGCUUGGGUUUAACAAAUACACAACUUAUAAUAGAAAUAUAUUUUAUUGUCAUGGAAAAUUGUACAAUUUGAUGGACAAAGCUUACUAAAGAGUUAUAAAAAAUACAAAAACAACGUUUAACUUGAACCGGUGCUCUACAAGGUUGUUAUUGAGUGAAAAGCACUUUAAAACCCAAUGAUAACGAAAACUUUCCAUAGAAGGCCAUAAUUUUUAAUCAAAUUUUCUUUUAAUUUACUGUAAACGGCCAUUAUCGAUCGCUUAUUUUUGUUUUGGUUAUAACAGCCUGUAUAUUAGCAUUAAUUCAAGUAUUUCUAUAGUUGUAUUAGAGGUAUUUUUUUAAUGUGUAAAAUAAUUGUUUGGUUGCUCUUGAGUAGGUACUUUUACGACUUGAUUGUAUUCCUUAAGCCUUAGAUAUUACAUACUUAGUUUGACAAACACUAUUUUUUAUCACUACGCAAAAUACAAUUUAGGUAUGGAAAUACAAACUUUUACUUUUUUUUACAUAUCGCUUAAAAGCUUGAAUAAACUUAUGUUUUGAACUUUAUAUUGACUAGAACUUUAUAUUCCUUUAAUAAUUAAAUUAUUACUACCUUUAAUAAUUAAAUUAUUAUAUUACUUCAUAUUAUUUAUCAUUAAUUUCAUGUUUGUGUGCUGGCACCAUACAUCGUCUAUUUUAAAUUUACCGCGCACUGACUGGGACGCGUACAAUUGGCAACGUUGGUUAAAGUGUGCGAAUGGACCAUGAUAGUGUGACGUCAAAACGUCAAAAUUUUUCCAAACACGUUGUCUCUAGGGUAUACGCUACCGUGUACGCAAAUAAAAAAGUUAGGUAGAAUUAAACGUCAUAACAAAUAUUUUUCUAUCAAACAAACACUAAGGCCCGAUUGUACAUUGGCGGCUUAAGCUAUGGCUUAGUUGAACCGGGUUCAAUUUUGAGCGUCGGUUUAACUUCAUUCGGGUUGUUCAAUGCCGAGUUCAGUUAAGCCGAGGUUCAUACAAAUUUUGGUAAGGUUGGCAACGUAAGGCAUGCGUAUUCAAAGCAAUUCCCGUCAAUUCUCGACAUAAAUUUUCCCGCCAUUUAUGUAUUAUUAUUUGGUUUUUGUCAAUAUAAUUCUUUUAUUACUGUUAUUAGUUUAAUCGGUAUUUUCUAUCGUUUAGUUUAUCAGUUUAAUCAAUUUCCUACGUUAAAUUUGUGAACAGACCAUUUGAAUAGCUUGUGAUGAAGGAUUGCGUAAGGGUGUUAUCAGGUUUUCUUGACUCCGUAACCACUAUCACCAAAGAAGAUACUAAUUCAAUCUUCACAUUCUCUUCUCAUAAAUAUUUAACUGUUUACAGCUAUGAUUUCAAAUUCACUCAAAAAUGUUAAUAUUUGCCUUAUUCUAGGGAAGUAGGUAGGUAAUUUAAAUAAUUUUAGAAGGUAAAUUAGUUUGUAAUUAUUAUUAAAUAAAGUGAUAAUAUGUACCUACAUAAGCAUGGUACAAAUAUAAUUAAUUUAAGAUUUAUUAAUAAAUUAUGUACAUCUAAUUUAAUAAAUUAACAAAAUCGU